Molecule: long non-coding RNA, 2047 nt
Organism: Mesoplodon densirostris (Blainville's beaked whale)
Lineage: Eukaryota; Metazoa; Chordata; Mammalia; Artiodactyla; Ziphiidae
Exons: 3
Source: RefSeq, a predicted model, not a curated record
GGGGACGGACCCGGCGGGCGGAAGCCCAGUCCGCCCUCGGGGCCGCGCGUCAGUUCAGUCCAGUGUUCCUGGUCAAGCAACCGUCCUGAGAUGCUGUCCUCCAAAUGGUUACCCAGGCUCUCUCCAUUGUGGUUCUCCACUCAGCCAGCAGAUGGGGAAAGAAAAAGGAAGAUCACUAGAGAAGAGGCAGGCUUGAAAGGGGAGACAUCGAUUUGGCCCACAUUCCAUUGGCUAGAACUCAGUCAUGUGGCCAAGGAAGCUGGAAAAUGUAGUGAGCUGUGCACCCAGGAAAAAAAGGAAACACUGGCAAAUAUUUAACUAGUUUUUGCCAGCUGCAAUGGGAGCUAAAUGUUUUCUGGCUUAUUUCCAAUGAAAAUAGAGUGCCUCAGUCCCUGUAUUCUAAGAAAGACACUGAGAUUCACCUUGAGUCACAGGCUUAUCCCUGAACAGAUGAACUGACCAGGGGACUGCAAUGGGCUGAUGGCCUCAAGCCCACCAGAGUCCACCUCUUGAGCUAGAGGUGGGGUUGGCUUUCCCUGAAAUGUCUGGACUGCAUGGGAAAGAGAUUCACAGCAGCUAAAUGUACUCAGGACUCUCCGAUUACCACUGUCUUUCCAAUUUGGGACUUGGCUGUCAUCAAUCCAGGGAAAGAUAUUCAGGAAACUUUCCCUUUAAGGUUAGAAGUGCUUUGAAAUCUAGAGCAUAUUCCUAAACACCAUCGUGUUUCCUGAACAGACAUGUUCAGUGAAGUUUCCCACCCUUCACUACAAACCCUGAGUGGUGACAGCCCAGUGGGGGUGUGGGGAGGAAGAGGGGGAGAGGGAGAGAGAGAGGAUGUACAGAAGAGGGACAGGCAUUCAGAGACAGAAUACUGGUGCUUUGGUCUCUGUCUCCCCACUCCAGCCAGGGGGCGCUUCAGGGUAGAGAUCACCAUCUUUUAACCCUGUCAAACCUGAAAACUACCCAUGUGUGCUCAGAGCAAGGCACCAAUUCAACAACCAUUUUAUUUAGGGCUUAUCAUAUUCCAGGCUCUGUUGUUAGGGAAAGCAUCCCCCAGUGAGAGGAUCAACAUAUGGAACUAAUUUAAAUAUCUAUCUAUCUAAUGACUAUUAGAAAAACCACAGAAUUAUCUUAAAAGACGAGCUAGAAUCAUAUGUAUUGACAGGGAAGGACACUCGAGACUAAUAGUUGAGGGGGAAAAGUUUACUAACAGUCUGUAUAGUAUGGCCCCUGUUUUGAUUGUUUUUAAAGUAUAGAUAAAUGAUCAGAGUUGGAUUUACAGCAAGGCUAAGGCUCAGAAGCUCUCACUUGCAGAGAUCUUGUUCAAAACUCUGAACUUAAUUUUGUAUUUUUCAUAAAGAGGGUCUCCAAAAAAGCAUAAGUAUGAGGUCAAAAUCUGAAUCAUUCCCUGAUAUUUAUAUACAUGACCCACUUAAGGCCAGCCGUGGUUAUCUCAGGCAGUUGGAAUAAAGAGACUUUCUCUUUUCUAUCAUCCCAAAGAGUGCCUCCUGAAAUUCCUUUAUAGGCAACCCUUCUGUUACCCGUAAUCCCUGGCCAACCCUCCCUGUGUUUCUACACCUAUCUCUGAGUGAGAUAACUCAUGGGCUUUGUAAACAGAAGUCCAAUAUUCAAAUAGUAAAUACUAUCUCUACCCUAUGUCCCAGCCAACCUAUGGGACACCUUCUCUCAUCAUCUUCCUCCAAGUUCUGCUUUUCCCUGUUUCCCAGUGACCAGUAUCAUGACCUUCCACUUCAUUCCCUUUAACCAAUAUUCCCUUAAUCUCAUAUUGUCUGUUUCUCUCCCACUCUGCUUAUUUUCUGACAAAAAGCAAAGACCAAAAAUUACAUAUAUGUGUUUCUAGGACAGAGACUUUAUUUCUCACUAGUGAUAAAAAUUUUCUAGCACAAUAAAUAUGCCUAAAAUCUACUUAAAACUUAAGACAAAUAAAAAUAGCUAGUAAAGUCCAUAAAACCAACAGCAGUACUUUAACUAGAUUAUAUUGCUUUUUUGCAUAUGUUUUCCUUAUGUGGUAAUGUUUGGUGCCCAG